UCAAAAACAUGUCUUUUUGAAAAUAAUUUAAAGUUUAAUCUGCCCACUGAUAUAUUUAUUAAAGGGCUGCAGUAUAUUGACUGUACAAAGGUAGCAUAAUCAUUAGUCUUUUAAUUGAAGACUUGUAUGAAAGAUUUGAUGAAAUAUAAACUGUCUCUAAUUUAAUAAUAAAAUUUAAUUUUUUAGUUAAAAAGCUAAAAUAAUAUUAAAAGACGAGAAGACCCUAUAAAGUUUUAUAAUUUAUUUAUUUAAUAUUAAAUAUAUAAUUAAUUAUAGUAAUUAUAUAAAAUUAUUUUAUUGGGGUGAUAGAAAAAUUUAAUAAACUUUUUUUAUAUUAUUAACAUAAAUAAGUGAAAAAAUGAUCCAUUAUUAAUGAUUAAAAGAAAAAAUUACUUUAGGGAUAACAGCGUAAUAUUUUUUUUUAGAACAAAUAAAAAAAAAAGUUUGCGACCUCGAUGUUGGAUUAAGAUAAAAUUUAAAUGCAAAAGUUUAAAAUUUUGAUCUGUUCGAUCAUUAAAAUCUUACAUGAUCUGAGCU
This 537-nucleotide ribosomal RNA is filed under the name Poladryas arachne (arachne checkerspot). RNAcentral's name for it is "partial 16S ribosomal RNA". The stretch from base 400 to 537 matches the Rfam family "Archaeal large subunit ribosomal RNA", at positions 2542 to 2680 of the family's 2987-position model. Lineage: Eukaryota; Metazoa; Arthropoda; Insecta; Lepidoptera; Nymphalidae. The record is from RNAcentral.